This 1710-nucleotide ribosomal RNA is filed under the name bacterium. Its description in RNAcentral is "partial 23S ribosomal RNA". It matches the Rfam family "Bacterial large subunit ribosomal RNA", at positions 1 to 1285 of the family's 2925-position model. The record is from RNAcentral.
AAAUAAAUACAUAAGGGCGUAUGGUGGAUGCCUAGACAUAAAAAGACGAUGAAGGACGCAGUCCGGCUGCGAAAAGCCUCGGGGACCUGCCAAACAAGGUUUGAUCCGGGGAUAUCCGAAUGGGGUAACCCGCGCUGACUAAUAUCGGCGCAUCUAUAUCUAAAUACAUAGGAUAUGGAAGAAAACCAGGUGAAGUGAAACAUCUCAGUAGCCUGAGGAAAAUAAAGAAAUAAGCGUAUCCUAAUGAUUUUGCUGGUCCCGCUCGGGAUUAGUGAAACAUUAGUAUAUCUCUAUUCCCUAAGUAGUGGCGAGCGAACGGGGAGAAGCCCAAACCCAGCACCAAGUUUUAUGCGACAGUAUUAUUCAAUAAUUUAUUUCAAAAAACUAAGAUAAAUUUAUUGAUAAAAACUGUUUUGUAAAACUUGGUGCUGGGGGUUGUAAGGUAAUAACGCGACUUUUAUUAGUCAAGAAGUUUAUAAAUAUGUAUCUUGGUUAGUUAAAUAAGCUGGAAAGCUUAACCAAAGAGGGUGAUAGUCCCGUAGAUGAAAACCGAUACAAACUUCUUGUUAUUAUCCUUGAGUACCAUAGGACCAGAGAAAUCUUAUGGGAAACCGGCAGUCCUACUAAAACGUCGGGCGCUCAAAUGAGCGUUUGGCGCUGCCAAGGCUAAAUACUUUUUAUGAUCGAUAGUGAACGAGUACCGUGAGGGAAAGGUGAAAAGCAUCCCGAAAGGGAGAUGAAAUAGUAUCUGAAACCAUACGCUUACAAAGAGUGGGAGCCCCGCACCAAGUUUUAUAAGAUAAUUUUUAUCAAUAAUUUAGUUUAAUUUUCUUUAAAAUAAAUAUUGAGUGAAAUUGUCUUAUAAAACUUGGUGCGGGGUGACCGCGUGCUUUUUGUAGAACGAGCCAACGAGUUUGCUGUAUGUUGCGUUAAGUUAAGUUCGACAGAACGAAGCUAAAGUGAAAGCGAGGGUUAAUAGCCCGCAAGUAGCAUACACAAUACACGAAACCGGGUGAGCUAGCCAUGGUCAGGGUGAAGCUGCGAGAAUAUCGCAGUGGAGGCCCGUACCCACCAGCCGUGUAAUACUGGGGGAUGAACUGUGGUUAGGGGUGAAAUUCCAAUCGAACUCGGUGAUAGCUUGUUUUUCCCGAAAUAGCUAUUGGGCUAGCGCUGCAUUUACCUGCUAGAGGUAGAGCUCUGGUUGGAGCCAGAGGGGGCAACCUACUCUCUCCAAAUAAACUUCGAAUUCUAGUCAGUCAAUUGUGCAGUAGUCAGAACUCCGGUGCUAAGAUCGGAGCUCAAAAGGGGAACAGCCCAGAUCGUAGUCUAAGGUCCCUAAAUCCAAAUUAAGUGGUAAAGGAAGUGGUUUUUCUAUGACAGGUAGGAGGUUGGCUCAGAGGUAGCCAUCCUUUAAAGAGUGUGUAACAACUCACUUCUCGAUUAUGAGAGAUUGCGCCGAAAAUAUAACGGGGCUAAAUUUGGUACCGAAGACACGAUUCGUCCGUGCCUCACUAAUGUUCAGCACGAACUCAUUUUAACAUAUUAACAUACUAACAUUUUAACAUUGUUUAAAUUAAACUCUUGUUAAAAUGUUAAAAUGUUAAAAUGUUAGUAUGAGUCCGUGGCGAACGAUAGUGAGACACGGACGGAGGUAGGGAAACGUUCUAUAGGCGUUGAAGCAGUAUCCGCGAGGAACUGUGGAGCGUAUAG